Molecule: ribosomal RNA, 1268 nt
Filed under: Bacillus velezensis
Lineage: Bacteria; Bacillati; Bacillota; Bacilli; Caryophanales; Bacillaceae
Description: bacterial SSU rRNA
Rfam family: Bacterial small subunit ribosomal RNA
Source: RNAcentral
UGCUCCCUGAUGUUAGCGGCGGACGGGUGUAGUAACACGUGGGUAACCUGCCUGUAAGACUGGGAUAACUCCGGGAAACCGGGGCUAAUACCGGAUGGUUGUUUGAACCGCAUGGUUCAGACAUAAAAGGUGGCUUCGGCUACCACUUACAGAUGGACCCGCGGCGCAUUAGCUAGUUGGUGAGGUAACGGCUCACCAAGGCGACGAUGCGUAGCCGACCUGAGAGGGUGAUCGGCCACACUGGGACUGAGACACGGCCCAGACUCCUACGGGAGGCAGCAGUAGGGAAUCUUCCGCAAUGGACGAAAGUCUGACGGAGCAACGCCGCGUGAGUGAUGAAGGUUUUCGGAUCGUAAAGCUCUGUUGUUAGGGAAGAACAAGUGCCGUUCAAAUAGGGCGGCACCUUGACGGUACCUAACCAGAAAGCCACGGCUAACUACGUGCCAGCAGCCGCGGUAAUACGUAGGUGGCAAGCGUUGUCCGGAAUUAUUGGGCGUAAAGGGCUCGCAGGCGGUUUCUUAAGUCUGAUGUGAAAGCCCCCGGCUCAACCGGGGAGGGUCAUUGGAAACUGGGGAACUUGAGUGCAGAAGAGGAGAGUGGAAUUCCACGUGUAGCGGUGAAAUGCGUAGAGAUGUGGAGGAACACCAGUGGCGAAGGCGACUCUCUGGUCUGUAACUGACGCUGAGGAGCGAAAGCGUGGGGAGCGAACAGGAUUAGAUACCCUGGUAGUCCACGCCGUAAACGAUGAGUGCUAAGUGUUAGGGGGUUUCCGCCCCUUAGUGCUGCAGCUAACGCAUUAAGCACUCCGCCUGGGGAGUACGGUCGCAAGACUGAAACUCAAAGGAAUUGACGGGGGCCCGCACAAGCGGUGGAGCAUGUGGUUUAAUUCGAAGCAACGCGAAGAACCUUACCAGGUCUUGACAUCCUCUGACAAUCCUAGAGAUAGGACGUCCCCUUCGGGGGCAGAGUGACAGGUGGUGCAUGGUUGUCGUCAGCUCGUGUCGUGAGAUGUUGGGUUAAGUCCCGCAACGAGCGCAACCCUUGAUCUUAGUUGCCAGCAUUCAGUUGGGCACUCUAAGGUGACUGCCGGUGACAAACCGGAGGAAGGUGGGGAUGACGUCAAAUCAUCAUGCCCCUUAUGACCUGGGCUACACACGUGCUACAAUGGACAGAACAAAGGGCAGCGAAACCGCGAGGUUAAGCCAAUCCCACAAAUCUGUUCUCAGUUCGGAUCGCAGUCUGCAACUCGACUGCGUGAAGCUGGAAUC